This 440-nucleotide ribosomal RNA is filed under the name uncultured bacterium. RNAcentral describes it as "partial 16S ribosomal RNA". It matches the Rfam family "Bacterial small subunit ribosomal RNA", at positions 338 to 795 of the family's 1533-position model. The record is from RNAcentral.
CCUACGGGAGGCAGCAGUGGGGGAUAUUGCACAAUGGGGGAAACCCUGAUGCAGCGACGCCGCGUGGGUGAAGAAGCGCCUCGGCGCGUAAAGCCCUGUCAGCAGGGAAGAAAAUGACGGUAUCUGAAGAAGAAGCCCCGGCUAACUACGUGCCAGCAGCCGCGGUAAUACGUAGGGGGCAAGCGUUAUCCGGAUUGACUGGGUGUAAAGGGGGCGCAGACGGCGAUGCAAGCCAGGAGUGAAAGCCCGGGGCCCAACCCCGGGACUGCUUUUGGAACUGCGUGGCUAGAGUGCAGGAGGGGCAGGCGGAAUUCCUGGUGUAGCGGUGAAAUGCGUAGAGAUCAGGAGGAACACCGGUGGCGAAGGCGGCCUGCUGGACUGCAACUGACGUUGAGGCCCGAAAGCGUGGGGAGCAAACAGGAUUAGAUACCCGUGUAGUC